Long non-coding RNA from Cygnus olor (mute swan), 445 nucleotides. RefSeq lists it as uncharacterized. The record is from RefSeq and is a predicted model, not a curated record. NCBI's taxonomy places the organism in Eukaryota, Metazoa, Chordata, Aves, Anseriformes, Anatidae. The transcript is spliced from 3 exons.
UGCCUGUUAAGAGCCAUUGAAGAGAAGCACGUAUGUUGUAGGCCCAGUGUUCAGCUGCCCUAUUUGUUUUUUAUGUUGAGGUCCCAUGAGGCUUUUCAGCAGGUGGCAUUAAUGCUCCAUCCAAUUCCAAAUGGCACACAGCCAGAAAACUGCUGAUUCCAGCAAUUAACACCUUAAAAUGGUCAACAAACUAUGGCAGAGAGAGCUGUCGGGAAAACCCAUUCCUCACACGACAAGAAGCAUCAGAUCCUGGCAAGACACAGGAUUCUGGUACAUCAGACUAAUAAGUCUUUUCAGAAUGGUUUCCUUGACUGGUCUGUGGUAUCUUUAAGGUGAGCUUUGCACUCAUGAUGAGAGAUGCAGAGAUGUAUGCUGAUUUUUGAGGUGUCCUUGCAGGGAGAAAAGCAAGCAUCCUUCUGCAGAUUGAAGGGACUGCCAGUGGGAG